Molecule: ribosomal RNA, 376 nt
Filed under: uncultured eukaryote
Lineage: Eukaryota
Description: partial 18S ribosomal RNA
Rfam family: Eukaryotic small subunit ribosomal RNA
Source: RNAcentral
CAAUAGCGUAUAUUAAAGUUGUUGCAGUUAAAAAGCUCGUAGUUGGAUUUCGGGGCAGCCUGGCUGGUCCGCCGCAAGGCGAGUACUGGUCAGCCGCCCUUCCUCUCGAAAGCCCCGACUGCUCUUUACUGCAGUGGUCGGGUAGUUCGGGACGUUUACUUUGAAAAAAUUAGAGUGUUCAAGGCAGGCCGUCGCCUGAAUACAUUAGCAUGGAAUAAUGGAAGAGGACCUCGGUCCUAUUUUGUUGGUUUCCAGGGCCGAAGUAAUGAUUAAGAGGGACAGUUGGGGGCAUUCGUAUUUAAUUGUCAGAGGUGAAAUUCUCGGAUUUAUGAAAGACGGACAACUGCGAAAGCAUUUGCCAAGGAUGUUUUCAUUA